RNAcentral lists this ribosomal RNA (903 nucleotides) under Triticum aestivum (bread wheat). RNAcentral's name for it is "partial small subunit ribosomal RNA". The record is from RNAcentral. Lineage: Eukaryota; Viridiplantae; Streptophyta; Magnoliopsida; Poales; Poaceae.
AUGGGUUAUGGAGAUCGUGUGAUGGCUGCCGUCAGCCAUCCAGGCAAAUUGCAUUUGAGAGACGACACGCCAAACAAUAUAAGAGAAUUUUUGGAGAUUGACGGUAUAUAUGUAACUACAGCUCAAGUCAGUAGCCAUCUACAGAAAUACAGAAGCGACUGCCGUAAGGGUGGGCUAUCAACCAUGCCAAGCUCUAGGCCACCACAUUCUAAUAAUACUUCCAAGAACUCUUCGGAAUCUCAAGAAAGUGAGGGAAGUUACAGAUUCCAUAUGAGGUCCCAGGGAGCAAGAGAUAUUAACCAAACCAGUUGGCUAAGCGGUGGUGCAUCACAAGUUGACUAUGUCAUUCUUGGAAAUGGGAACCACACAACUAAUCUUGGUGCAGGUGCUGCUUAUGGUCAUGGUUAUCAUCAUGGUAAUGCCAUUGGCGACAUAAAUGGUUAUGAUCAUCAUUAUGCUACUCUCAGUGCUAAUGAUUAUGAUCAUCAUUAUGGUAAUGGCAAUAAUAAAUCUUAUGGUUAUCCUCACGGUAAUUCUAGUGAUAAUAGUUAUGGUAAUGGUAAUGAGGGUCGUGGUGGAGUUAUAACAAGUGGAAGCAUGGUAAGUGCAUCAUUGUCGUCCAACCUAGCACCAGCAGUACAACAUGGAAUGCGUGGAGAUGCUUCUGCUGGCCAGACCAGCGCAGUGCAGCCUAAAAACCUUGACAGUGUUUUUCUCAACUGGGGCAACACUAGUUCUGAAACAGCCGGCACAUCAGGUGGAGUUAAGGGAGAAAUUGAUUGCACCAAGAGUUGUUGCAUGAGUGAUAUUGGUGUUAAGUCCAAACAUGAAGAUGGUAACCUAGUGAUGGACAAAGAUGCAAGCUUACUGGAUGCUCACCGCAUGAAUUAUUAUCAGUUUUAA